UUCCAGCUGAUGAGUCCCAAAUAGGACGAAACGCGCGUCCUGGAU
This 45-nucleotide non-coding RNA is filed under the name Schistosoma mansoni. The record is from RNAcentral. Lineage: Eukaryota; Metazoa; Platyhelminthes; Trematoda; Strigeidida; Schistosomatidae.